GUAGUCUGCAACUCGACUACAUGAAGCUGGAAUCGCUAGUAAUCGCGAAUCAGAAUGUCGCGGUGAAUACGUUCCCGGGUCUUGUACACACCGCCCGUCACACCAUGGGAGUCAGCAACGCCCGAAGCCGAUGACCCAACCGAAAGGAGGGAGCCGUCGAAGGUGGGGCCGAUAACUGGGGUGAAGUCGUAACAAGGUAAC
Molecule: ribosomal RNA, 201 nt
Filed under: uncultured bacterium
Lineage: Bacteria
Description: partial 16S ribosomal RNA
Rfam family: Bacterial small subunit ribosomal RNA
Source: RNAcentral